Molecule: ribosomal RNA, 301 nt
Filed under: uncultured bacterium
Lineage: Bacteria
Description: partial 16S ribosomal RNA
Rfam family: Bacterial small subunit ribosomal RNA
Source: RNAcentral
CAGCCGCCGCGGGAAUACGUAGGGUGCAAGCGUUAAUCGGAAUUACUGGGCGUAAAGCGUGCGCAGGCGGUUCGCUAAGACAGAUGUGAAAUCCCCGGGCCUAACCUGGGAACUGCAUUUGUGACUGGCGGGCUAGAGUAUGGCAGAGGGGGGUAGAAUUCCACGUGUAGCAGUGAAAUGCGUAGAGAUGUGGAGGAAUACCGAUGGCGAAGGCAGCCCCCUGGGCCAAUACUGACGCUCAUGCACGAAAGCGUGGGGAGCAAACAGGAUUAGAUACCCCGGUAGUCCCUGUCUCUUAUAA